This 207-nucleotide unclassified non-coding RNA is filed under the name Hevea brasiliensis (rubber tree). The record is from RNAcentral. Lineage: Eukaryota; Viridiplantae; Streptophyta; Magnoliopsida; Malpighiales; Euphorbiaceae.
CCUGAAUUCGAGGUAUCGGCGUUUGAGAUCGCCGAGCGGCUGCGCGCGGCUUAUGAACGCGGCAAGACCCAUGCGAUCGUGGUGCUCGCCGAAGGCGUGAAGGAGAAUGCCGCGCGUAUCAUGCAAUAUUUCGAAAGUAACGGCGNAACCGGGGCAUGGCCGGAUUCGAAUUGCGCGCCACCGUGCUUGGCCAUGUCGUCCGCGGUG